GGGGAAUAUUGCGCAAUGGGGGGAACCCUGACGCAGCCAUGCCGCGUGAAUGAAGAAGGCCUUAGGGUUGUAAAGUUCUUUCGGUAUUGAGGAAGGUUGAUGUGUUAAUAGCACAUCAAAUUGACGUUAAAUACAGAAGAAGCACCGGCUAACUCCGUGCCAGCAGCCGCGGUAAUACGGAGGGUGCGAGCGUUAAUCGGAAUAACUGGGCGUAAAGGGCACGCAGGCGGUUAUUUAAGUGAGGUGUGAAAGCCCCGGGCUUAACCUGGGAAUUGCAUUUCAGACUGGGUAACUAGAGUACUUUAGGGAGGGGUAGAAUUCCACGUGUGGCGGUGAAAUGCGUAGAGAUGUGGAGGAAUACCGACGGCGAAGGCAGCCCCUUGGGAAUGUACUGACGCUCAUGUGCGAAAGCGUGGGGAGCAAACAGGAUUAGAUACCCUGGUAGUCCACGCUGUAAACGCUGUCGAUUUGGGGGUUGGGGUUUAACUCUGGCGCCCGUAGCUAACGUGAUAAAUCGACCGCCUGGGGAGUACGGCCGCAAGGUUA
This 546-nucleotide ribosomal RNA is filed under the name uncultured bacterium. RNAcentral's name for it is "bacterial SSU rRNA". It matches the Rfam family "Bacterial small subunit ribosomal RNA", at positions 356 to 896 of the family's 1533-position model. The record is from RNAcentral.